CCACUUACCUGGUCGGGGUCUAUGGGUGAUUAAGAAGACCCAUGGCCUAAACUAGUGUCCUCCAUUGCACUUUGGAGGAGCAUCGGUUUACCAUCUCCCUUUGUGGGAGAGUUUGACGGUGUCC
This is a non-coding RNA of Triticum urartu, 124 nucleotides long. The record is from Rfam. Lineage: Eukaryota; Viridiplantae; Streptophyta; Magnoliopsida; Poales; Poaceae.